Molecule: ribosomal RNA, 440 nt
Filed under: uncultured bacterium
Lineage: Bacteria
Description: partial 16S ribosomal RNA
Rfam family: Bacterial small subunit ribosomal RNA
Source: RNAcentral
CCUACGGGUGGCUGCAGUGGGGGAUAUUGCCCAAUGGGGGGAACCCUGAUGCAGCGACGCCGCGUGGGUGAAGAAGCGCCUCGGCGCGUAAAGCCCUGUCAGCAGGGAAGAAAAUGCCGGUACCUGAAGCAGAAGCCCCGGCUAACUACGUGCCAGCAGCCGCGGUAAGACGUAGGGGGCAAGCGUUAUCCGGAUUUACUGGGUGUAAAGGGGGCGCAGACGGCGAUGCAAGCCAGGAGUGAACGUACGGGGCCCAACCCGGGGACUGCUCUUGAAACUGCGUGGCUGGAGUGCAGGAGGGGCAGGCGGAAUGCCUGGUGUAGCGGUGAAAUGCGUAGAUAUCAGGAGGAACACCGGUGGCGAAGGCGGCCUGCUGGACGGCAACUGACGCUGAGGCCCGAAAGCGUGGGGAGCAAACAGGAUUAGAUACCCCAGUAGUC